AAUUUUGGACAAUGGGGGAAACCCUGAUCCAGCCAUCCCGCGUGUAUGAUGAAGGCCUUCGGAUCGUAAAGCUCUGUUGUUAGGGAAGAACAAGUACCGUUCGAAUAGGGCGGUACCGUGACGGUACCUAACCAGAAAGCCACGGCUAACUACGAGCCAGCCGCCGCGGUAAUACGGAGGUGGCAAGUGUUGUCCGGAAUUAUUGGGCGUAAAGCGCGCGCAGGCGGCUUCUUAAGUCUGAUGUGAAAGCCCGCAGCUCAACUGCGGAGGGUCAUUGGAAACUGGGAAGCUUGAGUGCAGAAGAGGAGAGUGGAAUUCCACGUGUAGCGGUGAAAUGCGUAGAGAUGUGGAGGAACACCAGUGGCGAAGGCGGCUCUCUGGUCUGUAACUGACGCUGAGGCGCGAAAGCGUGGGGAGCAAACAGG
This 425-nucleotide ribosomal RNA is filed under the name uncultured bacterium. Its description in RNAcentral is "partial 16S ribosomal RNA". It matches the Rfam family "Bacterial small subunit ribosomal RNA", at positions 360 to 776 of the family's 1533-position model. The record is from RNAcentral.